GCCUAACACAUGCAAGUCGAACGGUAACAGGAAGCAGCUUGCUGCUUCGCUGACGAGUGGCGGACGGGUGAGUAAUGUCUGGGAAACUGCCUGAUGGAGGGGGAUAACUACUGGAAACGGUGGCUAAUACCGCAUAACGUCGCAAGACCAAAGAGGGGGACCUUCGGGCCUCUUGCCAUCAGAUGUGCCCAGAUGGGAUUAGCUUGUUGGUGAGGUAACGGCUCACCAAGGCGACGAUCCCUAGCUGGUCUGAGAGGAUGACCAGCCACACUGGAACUGAGACACGGUCCAGACUCCUACGGGAGGCAGCAGUGGGGAAUAUUGCACAAUGGGCGCAAGCCUGAUGCAGCCAUGCCGCGUGUAUGAAGAAGGCCUUCGGGUUGUAAAGUACUU
RNAcentral lists this ribosomal RNA (393 nucleotides) under Salmonella enterica subsp. enterica. RNAcentral describes it as "partial 16S ribosomal RNA". It matches the Rfam family "Bacterial small subunit ribosomal RNA", at positions 46 to 435 of the family's 1533-position model. RNAcentral also lists the same sequence under 2 other names. The record is from RNAcentral. Lineage: Bacteria; Pseudomonadati; Pseudomonadota; Gammaproteobacteria; Enterobacterales; Enterobacteriaceae.